CCUACGGGAGGCAGCAGUAGGGAAUAUUGGGCAAUGGGCGCAAGCCUGACCCAGCGACGCCGCGUGAGGGAUGAAGGUCUUCGGAUUGUAAACCUCUUUCAGUAGGGAAGAAGCGAAAGUGACGGUACCUAAAGAAGAAGCACCGGCUAACUAUGUGCCAGCAGCCGCGGUAAU
This 174-nucleotide ribosomal RNA is filed under the name uncultured bacterium. RNAcentral's name for it is "partial 16S ribosomal RNA". It matches the Rfam family "Bacterial small subunit ribosomal RNA", at positions 338 to 524 of the family's 1533-position model. The record is from RNAcentral.